GAUGAACGCUGGCGGCGUGCCUAAUACAUGCAAGUCGAGCGAACAGACGAGGAGCUUGCUCCUCUGACGUUAGCGGCGGACGGGUGAGUAACACGUGGAUAACCUACCUAUAAGACUGGGAUAACUUCGGGAAACCGGAGCUAAUACCGGAUAAUAUAUUGAACCGCAUGGUUCAAUAGUGAAAGACGGUUUUGCUGUCACUUAUAGAUGGAUCCGCGCCGCAUUAGCUAGUUGGUAAGGUAACGGCUUACCAAGGCAACGAUGCGUAGCCGACCUGAGAGGGUGAUCGGCCACACUGGAACGGAGACACGGUCCAGACUCCUACGGGAGGCAGCAGUAGGGAAUCUUCCGCAAUGGGCGAAUGCCUGACGUAGCAACGCCGCGUGAGUGAUGAAGGUCUUCGGAUCGUAAAACUCUGUUAUUAGGGAAGAACAAAUGUGUAAGUAACUAUGCACGUCUUGACGGUACCUAAUCAGAAAGCCACGGCUAACUACGUG
RNAcentral lists this ribosomal RNA (497 nucleotides) under uncultured bacterium. RNAcentral describes it as "partial 16S ribosomal RNA". It matches the Rfam family "Bacterial small subunit ribosomal RNA", at positions 28 to 507 of the family's 1533-position model. The record is from RNAcentral.